This 466-nucleotide ribosomal RNA is filed under the name uncultured bacterium. RNAcentral's name for it is "bacterial SSU rRNA". It matches the Rfam family "Bacterial small subunit ribosomal RNA", at positions 29 to 489 of the family's 1533-position model. The record is from RNAcentral.
AUUGAACGCUGGCGGCAUGCCUUACACAUGCAAGUCGAACGGUAACGCGGGGCAACCUGGCGACGAGUGGCGAACGGGUGAGUAAUACAUCGGAACGUGCCCAGUAGUGGGGGAUAGCCCGGCGAAAGCCGGAUUAAUACCGCAUACGACCUACGGGUGAAAGCAGGGGAUCGCAAGACCUUGCGCUAUUGGAGCGGCCGAUGUCAGAUUAGGUUGUUGGUGGGGUAAAAGCCUACCAAGCCGACGAUCUGUAGCUGGUCUGAGAGGACGACCAGCCACACUGGGACUGAGACACGGCCCAGACUCCUACGGGAGGCAGCAGUGGGGAAUUUUGGACAAUGGGCGCAAGCCUGAUCCAGCCAUGCCGCGUGCGGGAAGAAGGCCUCGGUUGUAACCGACUUUGUCAGGGAAGAAACGGACUACCGGGCCGUAAUACCUUGGGGUAAUGACGGUACCUGAAGAAUAA